This 652-nucleotide ribosomal RNA is filed under the name uncultured archaeon. RNAcentral describes it as "bacterial SSU rRNA". It matches the Rfam family "Archaeal small subunit ribosomal RNA", at positions 59 to 716 of the family's 1478-position model. The record is from RNAcentral.
CAAGAGGGUUCGGCCCUCGGCAGACGGCUCAGUAACACGUGGGAUAAUCUGCCCUUAGGUGGAGGAUAACCUCGGGAAACUGAGAAUAAUACUCCAUAGAUCUAGGAUGCUGGAAUGUACUUAGAUUGAAAGUUCCGACGCCUAAGAUGAGUCUGCGGACUAUCAGGUAGUAGUCAGGGUAAAGGCCUGACUAGCCUACGACGGAUACGGGUUGUGAGAGCAAUAACCCGGAGACGAUAUCUGAGACACGAUAUCGGGCCCUACGGGGCGCAGCAGGCGCGAAACCUUCACAAUGUGCGAAAGCACGGUGAGGGGAUCCCAAGUGCUUGCUCGUAAGAGUAAGCUGUUUUUAUGUCUAAAAAGCAUAGAGAGUAAGGGCUGGGUAAGACGGGUGCCAGCCGCCGCGGUAAUACCUGCAGCUCAAGUGGUGACCGCUAUUAUUGGGCCUAAAACGUUCGUAGCCGGUUUGGUAAAUGCCUGGGUAAAUCGUGUAGCUUAACUAUACGAAUUCCGGGUAGACUGCCAAACUUGAGACCGGGAGAAGCUAGAGGUACUCCUUGGGUAGAGGUGAAAUUCUGUAAUCCUGGGGGGACCACCAGUGGCGAAGGCGUCUAGCUAGAACGGGUUUGACGGUGAGGAACGAAGCCCUGGG